This 120-nucleotide ribosomal RNA is filed under the name Pteropus alecto (black flying fox). Lineage: Eukaryota; Metazoa; Chordata; Mammalia; Chiroptera; Pteropodidae. The record is from RNAcentral.
GUCUACUGCCGUGUCACCCUGAACAAACCCAAUCGAUGUCUGACCUCGGAAGCUAAGCAGGGUUGGGCCUGGUUAGGACUUGCUUGGGAGGCCACCAAGGAAGACCGGGUGCUGUAGGCA